CUACGGGACGCUGCAGUGGGGAAUAUUGGACAAUGGGGGCAACCCUGAUCCAGCAAUGCCGCGUGUGUGAAGAAGGCCUGCGGGUUGUAAAGCACUUUCAAUAGGGAGGAAAAGCUUUGGGUUAAUACCCCGAAGUCUUGACGUUACCUUUAGAAGAAGCACCGGCUAACUCUGUGCCAGCAGCCGCGGUAAUACAGAGGGUGCGAGCGUUAAUCGGAAUUACUGGGCGUAAAGCGCGCGUAGGCGGUUUGAUAAGUCAGAUGUGAAAGCCCCGGGCUUAACCUGGGAACUGCAUUUGAUACUGUCAAACUAGAGUAUGGUAGAGGGUAGUAGAAUUCCUGGUGUAGCGGUGAAAUGCGUAGAUAUCAGGAGGAAUACCAGUGGCGAAGGCGGCUACCUGGACCAAUACUGACGCUGAGGUGCGAAAGCGUGGGGAGCAAACAGGAUUAGAUACCCUUGUAGUC
Molecule: ribosomal RNA, 464 nt
Filed under: uncultured bacterium
Lineage: Bacteria
Description: partial 16S ribosomal RNA
Rfam family: Bacterial small subunit ribosomal RNA
Source: RNAcentral